AAAACGACUCUCGGCAACGGAUAUYUCGGCUCUCGCAUCGAUGAAGAACGCAGCGAAAUGCGAUACUUGGUGUGAAUUGCAGGAUCCCGCGAACCAUSGAGUCUUUGAACGCAAGUUGCGCCCGAAGCCUUUUGGCCGAGGGCACGUCUGCCUGGGUGUCAYUC
This 164-nucleotide ribosomal RNA is filed under the name Euphorbia cf. uzmuk JP-2013. Its description in RNAcentral is "5.8S ribosomal RNA". It matches the Rfam family "5.8S ribosomal RNA". Rfam says of the family: 5.8S ribosomal RNA (5.8S rRNA) is a component of the large subunit of the eukaryotic ribosome. It is transcribed by RNA polymerase I as part of the 45S precursor that also contains 18S and 28S rRNA. The record is from RNAcentral. Lineage: Eukaryota; Viridiplantae; Streptophyta; Magnoliopsida; Malpighiales; Euphorbiaceae.